GAUUAAAAACAAGCAAUGAUGAACAAGCCCGAUCCCAUCUGAUCUUGGAAGCUAAGCUGGGUCAGGCCUGGUUAGUACUUGGAUGGGAGACCACCUAGGAAGACCAGGUGUUGUAGGCA
This 119-nucleotide ribosomal RNA is filed under the name Pteropus alecto (black flying fox). The record is from RNAcentral. Lineage: Eukaryota; Metazoa; Chordata; Mammalia; Chiroptera; Pteropodidae.